AGCUACAUCCGUCACCUGACACGGCCCUACCAGGAACAGCCGCGCUCCCGCGGAUUCUGGUGCUGCUCGCGUCCCCGCUCCCCUAUUCCCCUUAUUUUAUUCCUGGCUCCCCUCGUCGAAAGUCUUCCAUUCUUCAAACUAGAUUAUUUAAAAAUGAAAAAGGAAGAAAGGAAAGCGAGGUCAUCUCAUUGCUCUAUCCGCCAAUCAGGAGGCUGAAUGUCAGUUUUGAACUAAAAGCCGCUCCGCUCCUCUUCUAGAUUUGGAAAACAAGCGAAAUUAAACUAAACCGCUGCACGCCUCUGACGCGACAUCUGGACACGGCGCGGCGCUGGCGCUGCCGGAGCUGUCGACCCGGCCUGGCGCCGGACUAGUGUCCCUUUUGAUGAGAAGAAUAAGCCUCAUUCUGAUUCAACAGCAGAGAUCAAAGAAAAGACUUCUGUUUUCUGGCCACCAGAUAUAUGUUAUCUGUGCUUAAAGAAUUGAAAAACACACAUCAAAGGAGAAUUUUCUUGGAAAGAGAGGGUUCAAGCAUCACUGUUAGGUGUGCUGGAAUCCUUUCCCGAGUCAGUACUGCUUUCUAGAAGAAAACCGGGGAGAUCUAUUUGGAAUGUAUCUAACUCCAAAGAAACCAUCAGAGGUAACAGUAGAGACGGGGUUUCACCAUGUUGGCCAGACUGGUCUUGAACUCUCGACCUCGUGAUUCGCCCGCCUCGGCCUCCCAAAGUGCUGGGAUUACAGGUGUGAGACACCACACCCGGCGGAUAGAGAGAAUUUUGACAGAUUGGCUUCUCUCACAUGGCAAGAAACAUUGCUGCUAGCACUUCCCGAGUUCUACGUUCUACAACAUCCACCACUGGAUCUUAACAUAGACGUAAGAUCAAAUGCAAUAGCAUGUCAAACAAUGUGUAACUCCAGUUAUACAAACAUUACUGUAUCUCAUUGGGGAUACGAAGCUCUACACACUUGAAGAUGGUGAAGGAAUAUAAAAAUCUAUGUCUCACAGUCCAGACUUGGAGUACAAGUAAUAAGAAGAAUAAAACUUAAUCCCUUAAGUAGAUUCACCAUAAGUUAGCUCAGAGCAAUUCCAGUGCAAGUAUGGUCUGUGAUCCAGUAGUAUCUUACAGACAGCAAGUUGAACAUUGUGGGAUGCAUGAGCUAUUGAGGCCUUUGCAGCUUUCUGCUACAUGGAGGCUAGGGCCAGAGUCAAGAUUUAUGCUUUGCAGCACACUGGUCAGCUGUUUUUGCAAAUCAGAUUAAAUGAUUUUUAAAUGAGGCUGAGAGCAUGGGAGAUACUAAUGUGUGUUUCCUUGUGAGCUACUGCAUAAGUUAGGAAAUUGAAAUACAGAAAGAUGAAAAGUGAUUUGCCCAAGCAUAUAGAUCAAAGCUGUGGCAGAACCAGGACUGGAACCUAUAUCUCUCUACUAAUGGUUUUUUUAAAAAAAUAACCUUGUUUCAAAAAUAUUAAAAAGUCACAAGAAAGGUAAACAUGUGGAUAAACAAAAUGAAGAAAAUAAAAAUUAUCCAGUAAUAACAUA
RNAcentral lists this long non-coding RNA (1535 nucleotides) under Homo sapiens (human). RNAcentral's name for it is "CDKN2B and CDKN2A antisense cis and trans regulatory RNA 1, transcript variant 3 (CDKN2B-AS1)". The stretch from base 379 to 522 matches the Rfam family "CDKN2B antisense RNA 1 convserved region 3". The record is from RNAcentral. Lineage: Eukaryota; Metazoa; Chordata; Mammalia; Primates; Hominidae.